Carcharodon carcharias (great white shark) is the source of this 72-nucleotide non-coding RNA. NCBI's taxonomy places the organism in Eukaryota, Metazoa, Chordata, Chondrichthyes, Lamniformes, Lamnidae. The record is from the annotation of a RefSeq genome assembly.
GCGAUGGUGGUGUAGUGGCGAGCAUGGCUGCUUCCCAAGCAGUUGAUCCGGGUUCGAUUCCCGGCUAUCGCA